Molecule: non-coding RNA, 2305 nt
Organism: Podarcis lilfordi (Lilford's wall lizard)
Lineage: Eukaryota; Metazoa; Chordata; Lepidosauria; Squamata; Lacertidae
Source: the annotation of a GenBank genome assembly
AACUAAAAUAUGGAUGCUCUUUGUUGUGAACUGAAGUGUUUAACUUCAAUGCUCUUUCCACUUAGCUCCACUCAUUCCUGCAGAGAAUCUCAUUCAACAACAGUGCUGGGGAUGAAAUUACAUUAAAUGAAUAUGGAGAGUUAGCAGCUGGCUUUGAUAUUACCAACUUGGUCACUUUCCCAAAUAAUUCCUAUGUCAGAGUCAAAGUGGGAAGUUUGGAUCCUCAGGCCCCUCCAGGGAAAGAACUCACCAUUAAUGAAGACAGAAUCAAAUGGCACAGACGCUUCACUAAGGUAUGGAAAUAAUGGCACAGUCCCUAAAAACCCAGAAUUUGUGGUUAUCCACAAAAUGGGAUGUAACAAAAGCACUUCAUACAUUAUUCAUUUUGAAAUUCACUAGCACCUGAAACCACUUCAGACUAGUGAUGAGUUAGAAUCGAGGAGUGCUCCCAGACCUCUUGUUUCAAACGGAAUGCAACUCCUCCCAGAACAGGUCAGGCAUAGGAACCCAAAGCAUUUCUCUCUGAGACAGGAUGUGGCCUAACAGGAAAGCGCAACCCAAAAGUCAUGGAAUGAUUUCCUAUUGCUAGUUGCUUGUAAUGAGCCUGCACGUAGGAGCAGAACCACUAUAAUGGCUUACCUUUUAAUUCCUUGUGCCACCACAAAGGAACAGCAUGUGAACUCCUUAAAGCAAAUGCCGUUAGGUGGUGACUCCAUCAAAAGGCCAAGCCAGGGGUGAAAUCACACCGAAUUCUUACACAGCUGUAAGGUUGGAUGGUCCAGGCAUCUUCUUAAGUUUGUGCCACUUAUGUGUAGCUACGGAUCAUUUCACACUAUUAGUACUCCUAUUUACUAUUAAAUCACCUGAUAUUGGAUAUUGGAUAAAUUCUCCAAAACAAUAUAAUAAUAUCAAACUCUUCUAUCUCUUUGCAUAGGUGCCACCGCUUUCUCUAUGUAAUGCCAACUGCCAUCCUGGUUACGGGAAGAAAAAGAAGGAGGGAAAGACGUUUUGCUGCUAUGAUUGUGAUCCAUGUCCAGAAGGAAUGAUUUCAAAUGAGAAAGGUUAGAGAUGACAUCUUAAGAUAAUGCAGAACCUCUGGGCUCCUGGCAAUUUUGUUGACAUUAAACUGCUGCAGGAGAAAAGGCUUAAAUUAAUAGAUGUGUUCUUCUCAUUGUUUAGAGAUAACAUCAAUAUAUUUUAAUCUUUAAAACAUCUUGAAGAUUUCUUUUUUAAGUGAAAGCUAAGAUAUUUUACCUCCAACUUCUACAAAAUUGGGGUGGAAUAGAAGUGGUGUUUUCUCCUCUAAGAAUCAGGUUGUUUGACAAUAGGGUGAAACUAUUACCAAACUCGCUUUUCUGAGAUCCAAAGAUUUCAGCUGUAAUGCAUUUCUCAUUUUGUUGUACUGUUUAUGUGGCUCUAAGAAAAAGCAGGGAGACAAUAAAGAAAAAAAAGAUGUUACCAAUGUAGAAAAUUCCAGUAUUGAUCCACAAGUUUUAUUUUUGAUACACCUGUUAUAAAAGCAUUUGGACUUGAAGCUCUUAUACAUUCUGACGUAGAAAACACUAUGCUAAAUGGACUAGUGAUGUGAAAUUCUUAAUAAUACUUUUGGUUACUUCAAAUUGUCACACAUUGUUUUUGUAUUUUCAGACAUGGAAACAUGUGUCAGUUGCCCAGCAGAUCAGUAUCCAAACAGCGGCCAGGAUCUAUGCAUUCCUAAGAUUCCAAACUUCCUAGCCUUUGAUGAAACCUUGGCCAUUGUUUCAACAUCCUCUGUGCUUCUAUUCUCUCUGAUCACAAUUCUAGUGCUAGGCAUCUUCAUUAAGCAUCGCAAUACAGCCAUAGUCAAAGCCAACAACCGAAGCCUCACCUAUGGUCUCCUUAUCUCCCUCCUCUUGUGUUUCCUCUCUUCUUUGUUGUUUAUCGGAAAACCUAAUAUGGUGACUUGCCUUCUCCGACAAACUGCUUUUGGCAUUGUCUUCUCUGUGGCCCUCUCCAGCAUCUUAGCCAAAACCAUAUUGGUGGUUUUGGCAUUCAUGGCUACCAAACCAGGAUCCAAUAUGAGGAAAUGGGUAGGCAAAGAACUGGCUUAUUCCAUUGUCUUUUCCUGCUCCAUUGUCCAAGUAGGAAUCUGUGUCCUCUGGCUGGCAACCUCUCCCCCAUUCCCAGAUGUGGACAUGCACUCAAUGCCUGAAGAAAUCAUAUUUCUAUGUAAUGAAGGGUCAGUCUCCAUGUUCUAUUGUGUUUUGGGCUACAUGGGCUUCCUGGCCACUAUCAGCUUCACGGUGGCCUUCCUAGCCAGGAAGUU